This is a long non-coding RNA of Syzygium oleosum, 1097 nucleotides long. RefSeq lists it as uncharacterized. The transcript is spliced from 2 exons. The record is from RefSeq and is a predicted model, not a curated record. Lineage: Eukaryota; Viridiplantae; Streptophyta; Magnoliopsida; Myrtales; Myrtaceae.
GUUUCCAUGUGGUAUUUGCCUCUUGAUUAAUAGUUUUGUUUGCAAGAUCUUGUUCCUUUGUCUUUUGUUUCUUCAUGGAAUGGAAGAGGCAACAAAAUACGUUGACAAAUAAAAAUUCCACAAAAACUUCAAUGUGUGUUUGGACACGAAUGCUAUGCCACGAAAUGGAAGCAGCUAUAGCUAUGAAGUAGCCAUAAGCUUGUAAUGUUCCGAAAUAAGCAUGAGAUGAAUAUGUUAGUCAAAAGAACUCUGGUUGAUUCCUAUUCCAAGUCCUGUGAUUCAUGUCGCUUACGUCGGGGCGAUCUUGCUUAUCAUAUUCUCUUUAUCCUCUCUAAACUGAACUUCCAUAACAUUGAAUUUAGCUGAAGUUUGGUGAUGGCAUGUGAGUGGAAAAGAGAUAACUUAGCUUGAGCGUGUUUGAAGAGUAGACCUACCAUGUUUAUGCAUCUUCUUCUGGUUCAAAUGUCUAUGAACUCAAGAUGCCUGCAAAAUGUUUCGCAUAAAAGUUCUGAACUUUUUCUUGAUUAUAUGUGAACGAUUCCUUCAAUUUUCACUGGCAAUUGUAAUCAUGUCAUGCGUAUUGCUACACAGUGGUAGAUGUGGUGCUUCUACAAAGGUUUGGCGUUGGCAAUUACGAAAUAUUUGAGCUUAACAUACUAUAUAGUUUGCAUUUUAUGUAUAGAAUGAAGGGAUUAUCUAUCUAGAUAUGUUAGAGGUAGAGCAACUUAUGGCUGGAGCCUUGGCACAACAGCAAGUUGCUCCAAUUUAAUAGGGAGGUCAAAAGUUAGGGUCAUUUAAUAGCCUCUCUGUUACGCAGAUGCAAGACUGCAUACAUAUGACUCUGGCCAGACUUCAAUAUGUGAACUCAUGCAUUAGGAGAUGUGAAACUAGUUCCUUCAGAAAGCAGAACAGAGGGCAGAAUGGCAUGAACAUUAGGUUUAGAGGUUUAUGAUCCCGUUCUUACUGUUGUUAAUGCUGUUAGCCUAAUUAAAACAAAUGGGAACUCUACACCCAUGAGCAUGAGCAAGUUUGUUACAGCAACUAUCUUCUGAUCUGCUUGAAAAAAGUAACUGGACUUGCACCAGGAAAGCUGAUUA